UAUUUACUAUAUAUUAUAUUAAAGAUAUUGAAUAGUUUCAUUGUUUAUUAUUUUGUUAUAUUGACUAUAUUAUAUUGAACUCAGGAAUUCCUUACAAGGACCGAUGGUAUUAUCAUCAUCUUACAGGUGAGAACAAUGUACAGAGAGCCAGUAAGUGGGAGUACAGGACAUUAAACCCACUUGAGUCCCCAGAGUCUGCUGCUUAACCGGAGUCACCGCUGCCCCUGCAUCAGAAUGAACCUCCAGAGGCAUUUUUGGGCACAUCUGGAUAAUUCAGGAUAAUCUCUGCAUCUCAAGAUCCUUGACUUGAUGGCAUCUACAAAGCCCCUCCUGCCAUAUACGGUAAGAUAUUCAAAAGUUCCAGGAAUUAGGACAUGGACAUCUUUGGAGGGGUCAUUAUUCAGCCUACCUGAUUGCUUAAAGCCCUCCAAUGGCUUUGCAUCUGAGUUAGAAUAAAACCCAAGCUCCUCACCCCAGAUAAGAGUGCCUUAUUUGACCUAGCCCUUCCCAUCUCUCCAACCCCAUGCUUUCCCGCCCUCCCCUUAGCAUAGGAGCCCGCUUGCUUCUCACUGUUCUUCCCACCGGCCAAGUCCAUUCUUGCCUCAAGGCCUCUGCUCAUGCUGCUCCCUCUGCCUGAGUGCUCUUUCCCCAGAUCAUCACAUGGCUCACCGGUUCUUCCCUUUUAGACUUUAGCUCAAAUGUCACCUUCUCAGAGGUCUUUCCCUGAGUAAUCCGUCUCACUCACCAUCCCUGCAGUCUUUCAUAUCAUCUGGGUUACUUAAUGUCAACAUAAACACUUAUUGUCACCUGCUUUUUGUUUUUUCAAAAAUAAAUUUUAUUUAUUUAUUUAUUUUUCAGGAAGAUUGGCCCUAAGCUAACAUCUGUGGCCAAUCUUCCUCUUUUUUUCUCUUCCUCAAAGCCCCCCAGCACAUAGUUGUAUAUCCUAGUUGUAGGUCAUUCUAGUUCUUCUAUGUGGGACCCUGCCACAGCAUGGCUUGAUGAGUGAUGUGUAGGUCUGUGCCCAGGAUCUGAACUGGUGAACCCUGGGCUGCUGAAGCAGAGUGUGCAAACUUAACCACUAUGUCACCAGGCUGGCCCUGUAGCUGUUUUUUUAAAAUUUGUUUCCUUAUUUAUUGUUUUUCUCCCCCACUAGAACGUGAGCAAAUGAGAGAGAAAAAAUAUUCCUUGCUGUGUUCACUGCUGCAUCCCCAGGACUGGCAGAUCCCUGGUAGACACAGCAGACCCUUGAGAAAUGCUUGUUGAAUGGGUGGAUGGAUGGAUGAUGGUCUGGACAUCCAAUUUGGUCUCUGGGCUUCAGUGACCAGGAUUCAGACUCAGCAUGGAGGUAGGUCACAAAGGCAGGAGGGUGCAACAUUUAAUGAGUGCUUCCUGUAUGCCAGGCCCUGUGCUAGUCCUUCCUUUAUGUAAUUCACCAUAUUGAACACCUACUGUGUGCCAGGUCUGUUAUUUAUUCAUGUGUUAUUUAUUCAAUUUAAGGAGCAUUUAUUGAGUGCCUACUGAAUGCUAGGCAAUGUACAUUUAUCAAGCAUCUACUACACACCAGCUGUCCCAAAUCAGCGCCUGGGUCAGAGUAGUUCAAUAAAUGCCUGAAUGAAUGAAUGCCCUCAAAGAGCCCCCAGUCUUCCUGCCAAAAUAUGCUGUAAAUAAAUGACUGCAACACACAACGAUAAGGCUAUAAUGUGGGUGUGUUCAGACUGCAGAGGGUUCCCCUUAUCACUUCGUACUGCCAGGUACCUUUCCCAGAGUCUUAUCUUCUUACUUGGGAACCAGCUCUUUGAAGGUCAGGUAGACUCGCUCCUCACUCACCUGCCUGUCCAUCCCCUGGGCGCCCAGGAAGGACCUUGCCUGUAGCGUGUGCUCGGUCAGUGCCUGUUGUCUGAUUACUUCGGCCUCUCCCACUGGCAGUGGUUCCUUCGCUCAUACACCAGGCAAGAGGGCAGUGGCUUGGCCCUAACGCAGAUGCUGCUGGCAGGGAGCUGGGAGCCUCUGACACGCUGCCCACCCUCCCAUUUGGCCUGACUUUUC
Molecule: long non-coding RNA, 2046 nt
Organism: Equus asinus (donkey)
Lineage: Eukaryota; Metazoa; Chordata; Mammalia; Perissodactyla; Equidae
Source: Ensembl